UGGGGAAUAUUGCACAAUGGAGGAAACUCUGAUGCAGCGACGCCGCGUGAACGAUGAAGGCUUUCGGGUCGUAAAGUUCUGUCCUAGGGGACGAUAAUGACGGUACCCUAGGAGGAAGCCCCGGCUAACUACGUGCCAGCAGCCGCGGUAAUACGUAGGGGGCGAGCGUUGUCCGGAUUUAUUGGGCGUAAAGGGUUCGCAGGCGGCCUUUUAAGUCAGAUGUGAAAGAUCAAGGCUUAACCUUGGUAAGCAUUUGAAACUGAAGGGCUUGAGUUAAGGAGAGGAAAGUGGAAUUCCUAGUGUAGCGGUGAAAUGCGUAGAUAUUAGGAGGAAUACCAGUGGCGAAGGCGACUUUCUGGACUUAUACUGACGCUGAGGAACGAAAGCAUGGGGAGCAAACAGG
Molecule: ribosomal RNA, 403 nt
Filed under: uncultured bacterium
Lineage: Bacteria
Description: bacterial SSU rRNA
Rfam family: Bacterial small subunit ribosomal RNA
Source: RNAcentral